AUAACUCCGGGAAACCGGAGCUAAUACCGGAUAGUUCCUUGAACCGCAUGGUUCAAGGAUGAAAGACGGUUUCGGCUGUCACUUACAGAUGGACCCGCGGCGCAUUAGCUAGUUGGUGGGGUAAUGGCUCACCAAGGCGACGAUGCGUAGCCGACCUGAGAGGGUGAUCGGCCACACUGGGACUGAGACACGGCCCAGACUCCUACGGGAGGCAGCAGUAGGGAAUCUUCCGCAAUGGACGAAAGUCUGACGGAGCAACGCCGCGUGAGUGAUGAAGGUUUUCGGAUCGUAAAGCUCUGUUGUUAGGGAAGAACAAGUGCGAGAGUAACUGCUCGCACCUUGACGGUACCUAACCAGAAAGCCACGGCUAACUACGUGCCAGCAGCCGCGGUAAUACGUAGGUGGCAAGCGUUGUCCGGAAUUAUUGGGCGUAAAGGGCUCGCAGGCGGUUUCUUAAGUCUGAUGUGAAAGCCCCCGGCUCAACCGGGGAGGGUCAUUGGAAACUGGGAAACUUGAGUGCAGAAGAGGAGAGUGGAAUUCCACGUGUAGCGGUGAAAUGCGUAGAGAUGUGGAGGAACACCAGUGGCGAAGGCGACUC
This 598-nucleotide ribosomal RNA is filed under the name Bacillus pumilus. RNAcentral describes it as "bacterial SSU rRNA". It matches the Rfam family "Bacterial small subunit ribosomal RNA", at positions 143 to 727 of the family's 1533-position model. Lineage: Bacteria; Bacillati; Bacillota; Bacilli; Caryophanales; Bacillaceae. The record is from RNAcentral.